This 305-nucleotide ribosomal RNA is filed under the name uncultured bacterium. RNAcentral's name for it is "bacterial SSU rRNA". It matches the Rfam family "Bacterial small subunit ribosomal RNA", at positions 331 to 636 of the family's 1533-position model. The record is from RNAcentral.
CCUAGCCUACGGGAGGCAGCAGUGAGGAAUAUUGGUCAAUGGGCGCAAGCCUGAACCAGCCAAGUCGCGUGAGGGAUGACGGUCCUAUGGAUUGUAAACCUCUUUUGUCGGGGAGCAAAAGACGCCACGCGUGGCGUUCCGAGAGUACCCGAAGAAAAAGCAUCGGCUAACUCCGUGCCAGCAGCCGCGGUAAUACGGAGGAUGCGAGCGUUAUCUGGAUUUAUUGGGUUUAAAGGGUGCGCAGGCGGAAGAUCAAGUCAGCGGUAAAGUUGAGAGGCUCAACCUCUUCGAGCCGUUGAAACUGG